Non-coding RNA from Sturnus vulgaris (Common starling), 1446 nucleotides. NCBI's taxonomy places the organism in Eukaryota, Metazoa, Chordata, Aves, Passeriformes, Sturnidae. The record is from RefSeq and is a predicted model, not a curated record.
GUGAGCAUGGCGGGCUUCGCCGACCUGAACCUGCCGCAGGGGCUGGACAAGAAGUCCCUGCAGAGCCUGCUGGAGACCGCGGCGCACCUGGGAUAUUCUGCAGUUGCACUUAAUCAUGUCAUCGAUUUUAAAGAAAAGAAACAGGAAAUCAUCAAGCCAGUAUCCCCUUCAGAGUUGUUUCCAUCUUUGCCUAUUGUACAAGGGACAUCUAAAAGAAUUAAAGUUUUGACUCGGCUUACACUUGUUGUUUCUGAUCCUUCCCACUGCAAUCUCUUGAGAUCGACAUCUGCAAAUAUAAGGUUAUAUGACAUCAUAGCAGUAUUUCCAAAAACUGAGAAACUGUUCCAUAUUGCUUGCACAACAUUAGAUGUGGAUCUGGUCUGCAUAAAUGUAACAGAAAAGCUGCCAUUCUACUUCCGAAGGCCCCCUGUGAAUAUGGCAAUAGAUCGAGGCAUUUACUUUGAACUUCUUUACACGCCUGCCAUCAAAGACUCUACAAUGAGAAGAUACACAAUUUCAAAUGCCAUCAGCCUGAUGCAGAUCUGCAAAGGAAAGAACAUAGUUGUAUCUAGUGCAGCUGAAAGGCCUCUGGAGCUCCGAGGUCCUUAUGAUGUGGCUAAUCUAGGUUUGCUGUUUGGCCUGUCAGAAGGCGAAGCAAAGGCAGCUGUAUCCACCAACUGCAGAGCAGCCAUGCUGCAUGGAGAAACUCGAAAGAGUGCCUGUGGCGUAGUGUACACGGUGAAGAAGCCUCGCCAGGUUGAAGAGGAAGAAACAGCAGUGCCAGCCUGCAAAAAAGCAAAGACUCAAGUUUGAGGACUGAACCAGUUGUCAGCAGAAGCCUCCAUCUCUUCUUUACGCAGUGUUGAGUCUUCCUCCAACCUCCAGCCAACCUAAUUUUUCCCUUACUACCUUGCUUAGCCUACAGAAGAAUUAUUCUUCCAGCAUUCAAGUGAGGAAAACUGUGUGCAUGAGACUGCUGAAUGGUGUUCACCACAUCUAAAAGGUCAUGCUGGGCUUCUGGCCAAGGAUAUUCCCCAGGACAUUGCUUUGGCCAGACUAUAAAGCUGGCUGACAUGGAUUGGUGAAGGAGUGUGAGAGCCUCUGGCAUAUUUGUCUAUCAGGCCACCCAAUGGAUAAUUAGGAAUUUACCUGAAUGCAGCAUCUAAAUAUCCCUCUGCUCUGCUCUCUCCCACCUGGAGUGUUGUAUCCAGCUCUGGGGUCCUCAGUGCAUGAAGAAUAUGGAGCUGUUGGAGUGUGUCCAGAAAGAGCCACAAAGCUGGUAAGAAGGAGGGAACACUUUUGUGUGGAAGUGCUGAGAGAGCUGAGGUUGUUCAGCCUGGAGAAUAGAAGGUGCUAGUGCCACCUUAUUGGGAACUUUCAGUAUUUAAAGGGACGUAUAAGAAAGAUUUCUCCAGAAUUGUCAUCACAGCCUAUUGUGAUAGGACC